This 1132-nucleotide long non-coding RNA is filed under the name Anas platyrhynchos (mallard). RNAcentral describes it as "lncRNA (ENSAPLG00020011920.1)". Lineage: Eukaryota; Metazoa; Chordata; Aves; Anseriformes; Anatidae. The record is from RNAcentral.
UAUUCCUGCUAAAUAUUUUGUUUUCCCUGUAAAUACACAUUUCUGAUUCUGGAGGCUUUGCUUUACAGUUAUCUUGAAGGCAAAGUUUUCCUAUGGGCAAUGUGUUGCCAAUUUGAUCCUGCUCUUCCUUACAACUGAACUGCAGCAUGAAAAGCGAGAGAAUCCCACAGUCAGUGGUUGCCACUGUCCUGUUUCAUUUUGCUGCUCCCUCACUAAUCUUAUCUGGAGUGUAUGUAAUGUUGCCAGCUGUCAUAUGCUUUCUCUCUGAAGACGUUUCCCUAGGGCUAGAUUCCUACUGCAGCUGUGGAUUCAACCAUGCAAUUUACUUUCCCUGAAGAAUUAAGCAGUUAUUUCUCACUCAGCUGUCCUCUCAAUGGAAGUGACAUUCAGUAUCUGCUGUACAGCCACAGGAGGGCCUCAGUGGUCAGCAUGUCCAUGCAGUUCUUCUCACCUCGAAGGGAAGCCCAGCCCAGCCACCAGCAGCCGAAGCCGGGGCUGUGUCCCAUAGAAUCACAGAAUAUCCAGAGUUGGGAGGGACCCACAAGGAUCAUCGAGUCCAAUUCGUGUCCCAGUGCUGGCUGAGAGCACGCAGGCUGCUGGUGAGCGUGGGGCCAACCACAGCUCGAGGGCUGUUGUUAUUUGCUGCUUGUCUUGGUUUUUCUGGGCUGCUUAGUAAUGGUCCCAGAUGUAAGUCUAUGGGGCAAAGAUAAUUUUCUUUAUCAGAGUUCCAGGUUGCACUGGUUUAAAGCCACCAUUAGAGACCGGGGAGUUGUCCCUCAGAGCUGUCACUUUAUCUUCUAAUUCCACAUUUUACGUUUUCUGCCUUUAAAGCAGAAACUUUCUUGGAAAACCCCUUGAAAAAACUUGCUUGUUGCUACCACACGUCCCAAAAUAGCACUUACACACAUUCUCCCUCUUUGUCUGUUGCCAUACCAAAACUCCUGCAUUUGAUCUUUCACACUGAUUUUGUGGUGUGCUGAUGUUCAUGCUGUGUUGUAGUGCAGGAGAGUGGCACCACGCGCAGCCAUCUGUAUGUGCAUGAGGCUGCGACUGCAGCAGGCAUGGGGGCUCCAUCCCAUCCCAUCCUAUCCCAUCCCAUCCCAGCUUUGUACCAGGGCCAUCACGCUGCCAU